UACGUAGGGGGCAAGCGUUGUCCGGAAUCAUUGGGCGUAAAGCGCGUGUAGGCGGCCAGGUAGGUCUGCUGUGAAAACUCGAGGCUUAACCUCGAGAUGUCGGCGGAAACCAUCUGGCUAGAGUCCGGAAGAGGCGAGUGGAAUUCCUGGUGUAGCGGUGAAAUGCGCAGAUAUCAGGAGGAACACCAAUGGCGAAGGCAGCUCGCUGGGACGUGACUGACGCUGAGACGCGAAAGCGUGGGGAGCAAACAGG
Molecule: ribosomal RNA, 253 nt
Filed under: uncultured bacterium
Lineage: Bacteria
Description: partial 16S ribosomal RNA
Rfam family: Bacterial small subunit ribosomal RNA
Source: RNAcentral